Glossina fuscipes is the source of this 2059-nucleotide long non-coding RNA. RefSeq lists it as uncharacterized. The transcript has 4 exons. The record is from RefSeq and is a predicted model, not a curated record. Lineage: Eukaryota; Metazoa; Arthropoda; Insecta; Diptera; Glossinidae.
AAUUGCUGAAAUAUCUAUCAAUUAAAACUUUUAAAAAAUGUAUGACUGUGUGCCAAAACGGAGGUGUCUUCUAAUGAAUUUCAUCCAAUACGUUUAUGAAAACUAGUAAAGUAAUAGACAAAAAAGACAACAAGCAAAGCAACGUGAAAUUUAAGCAAUAGGCAAAAGGAAAAACAUUAAAUAAAAUAUUUAUAAUGUCUGUAUAUACAGAAGUGUUUAAAAGCAAAAUUCUAUUGUUAGGGCCAAAGAAUAUAAAAUAAAUUUUAAUAAAGAUCUUACACAAUAAAUGGCAUGAAAUCAAACUCCCUGAAAAAUAAAACUAAUAAACGCUAUUAAUUAUGUACGCAGAACAUGUAUCAAUUGCAUGUACUUUAUGUUUAGUUGUAACCGCGUGUUUGAAAUAAAAAUGCAUGUAAAAUCGGAUUAGUUUAGAAAAGAAUAAAAAGGAAAAAAGAAAGUAUAACGUUUUCUAAUUUUUUAGCCAUAAUACUGGCUUCAUUGCCUGCCAUCAAUAUACCAUUUUGUGUUCCUCUUUAUGGUCAGUUCGCAUCAUUAUUUAUCGAUCAUACCGUUGGCAUUGGCACGUCUUCGACAACCUUCUUUUUACCAAUAUUUGGUGGGAAAAAAAAACUUGAAUCCCGUCUGCAAAAGUGGAUCAUCGUCAAACUGAGAGAAUGCCAACCCCACAUGUCUACCAAUUAUUUCGUUCGUGGUAAUUUUUCGUCAUUGGAUGUACCAACCUUACAUUCUAGAUCAAGUGUUAUGCAAACUAAUUUUGAUGAGGGCUUUUUCAUCGGAAAUAGACAAAAUUGACAAUAAUACCCUUUGAAUCAGAAACUGGUUUUACCGCCAAUAGAACGUCAACAGCGAAAGUAAUCAACUAAAAUAAUUACACAUACGGUAAACUCAAUGGAUAUGUAAUGCAAGUAAAUGCGUGGUUGGGAUACGACGAAAUCUUAGUAGGAGCAAAGUCAGCAACUGUGGUAAAUCCUCGUUGUUGCUUCGUCGACCUUUUUCAUGAAUGUGUUGCCGUUUUUGCAAUAAGUGGUUUAAAAAACCGCAACUGUGCCAAAUGUGGUAAAAGGUAUCGUACGAUGAUUCUUUCGGAUAUCGUCGAUGGUGAGAUACGUUUUCGAAUCCAUAUCGAAGAACAUCUAAUGCCAUUUUACCUGAGGAUAAACUCGUUACGCACGAAGAAGAAGAAUGAUGGUAAAAUUACCAAAUUUAACAUUUUCAACAAAGAUUUGCUAACAACUAACGAUAGGGCUAUGGCUUCGUAUGACUUUUACACGUAUCCAAACAGGUUCAAUGAAAUCUAAUAUUUCUCCAAUAUCUUGUUAAUCCCUCUUAUUAUUAUGGCAGCGUUUCUUGUUAAGUUUACUGUAAUUGAUUUUCGCGCAUAUUGAAUUGUAAUAUUGUUAGAAUAACAUUUAAGUAAUUUUGGAACACAUACGGAAUUAUAACAUAAUAAAGUUAAAUAAAUUAAUCUCAUCUGGUGGCUUUUUUCUAAUACUCUUCUCAUUAGUCGACUUAUAAUGUUAUACUAAAUUUUUGUAAUAACCAUCUUGCUGUGUGUUAACUCAUAUUUUAAUGCCUCUAGGCUCGCCUCUUGGGGCAAUUGCCAGCAACAAAUUCUUUCGGACCUCUCUGAAGUGUGAUGAUUAUGUCUUUCUAACAGGUCUACGAAACAUGAUGAGCUUGUGAUGGUAAUAUACUUGAUAGUUCUGCCGCUGUAGGCCUGCCAGAGUCUUGUUGACUGCCGAAGCAUAAUUAAAGAAUAAUCAAUAUUCACACUGCCCUUUUGUACAAUUUCACUGCGGCGCUGCUUUGGUGUAUGUAGAAUAGUGUUGGUGUGCUGGUACUUACAACUAAUAUACAUAGAUUCGAAUUAGUGCUCGCGUACGUGAAUGAUGUCAUUACAAUCGCGUUUGUUCACGAGUAAGCAAAACCCUUUAAAAUCUCUUAACACCACAAUAAGGACAUGGUCCUUUUCCAUGAUGUCUAUGUUUACUUUGACUAUUAAUUUACCAAAAGUAUUUGUGUGUAUAUUUCGCGACAA